AUGAACCCAAACUGAUUGUCUGAUAUAAACAUCGUCUUCAUCACCCUCUCCUAGACUUUCAUGGUAUGGCUAAGUAACUUGAUACCCAUAUAAUUGUUACAACACUGUAUAUCACCUUUUUUCUUGGACAACGGUACCACUGUACUCGACCUCUAAUCCUCGGGCACCCUCUUCGUCCUAAAAAUUGUAUGGAACAACCCAGUCAGCCACUCAAAUCCUGCUCUACCCACACACUUCCAAAACUCAACCGAAAUUUUAUCUGGCACGGUCGAUCUACCCC
This 280-nucleotide long non-coding RNA is filed under the name Nicotiana benthamiana. RNAcentral describes it as "long non-coding RNA (NBEN_LNC036879)". Lineage: Eukaryota; Viridiplantae; Streptophyta; Magnoliopsida; Solanales; Solanaceae. The record is from RNAcentral.